ACGUACGGCCAGAGGUCGCAGAGAACAGAGGAUCCCGUCCGCUCUCCUGUACUUAAGCUGUGAACCGGUGGAUUAGUACUACGGUGGGUGACCACGUGGGAAUCCCCACUGCUGUACGUU
Acidomyces richmondensis BFW is the source of this 120-nucleotide ribosomal RNA. Lineage: Eukaryota; Fungi; Ascomycota; Dothideomycetes; Mycosphaerellales; Teratosphaeriaceae. The record is from Rfam.